Long non-coding RNA from Stegostoma tigrinum, 210 nucleotides. RefSeq lists it as uncharacterized. The transcript has 3 exons. Lineage: Eukaryota; Metazoa; Chordata; Chondrichthyes; Orectolobiformes; Stegostomatidae. The record is from RefSeq and is a predicted model, not a curated record.
CCGGAGGCAAAGGAGAGCUGGAGGAAUCGGACGUGGAACAGGCGCGAUAAGGGAUUGAAAGGAGAAAAUUGGAAAUCGCGUGAAUCAAUGUCAGCAGUGGCAGACUUGAACCUCAAACCAAACUGCGAAAGAGUAAUGCGAUUGAUGAGGAUCUGACCAUUAUCAGCAAACGAAUGUGGUAGCAUUCAAAUAUGAAAGGAUGAAGAGGGG